Molecule: ribosomal RNA, 535 nt
Filed under: Salmonella enterica
Lineage: Bacteria; Pseudomonadati; Pseudomonadota; Gammaproteobacteria; Enterobacterales; Enterobacteriaceae
Description: bacterial SSU rRNA
Rfam family: Bacterial small subunit ribosomal RNA
Source: RNAcentral
AUUCAGAGAUGGAUUUGUGCCUUCGGGAACCGUGAGACAGGUGCUGCAUGGCUGUCGUCAGCUCGUGUUGUGAAAUGUUGGGUUAAGUCCCGCAACGAGCGCAACCCUUAUCCUUUGUUGCCAGCGGUUAGGCCGGGAACUCAAAGGAGACUGCCAGUGAUAAACUGGAGGAAGGUGGGGAUGACGUCAAGUCAUCAUGGCCCUUACGACCAGGGCUACACACGUGCUACAAUGGCGCAUACAAAGAGAAGCGACCUCGCGAGAGCAAGCGGACCUCAUAAAGUGCGUCGUAGUCCGGAUUGGAGUCUGCAACUCGACUCCAUGAAGUCGGAAUCGCUAGUAAUCGUGGAUCAGAAUGCCACGGUGAAUACGUUCCCGGGCCUUGUACACACCGCCCGUCACACCAUGGGAGUGGGUUGCAAAAGAAGUAGGUAGCUUAACCUUCGGGAGGGCGCUUACCACUUUGUGAUUCAUGACUGGGGUGAAGUCGUAACAAGGUAACCGUAGGGGAACCUGCGGUUGGAUCACCUCCUUA